Molecule: long non-coding RNA, 1222 nt
Organism: Corapipo altera (White-ruffed manakin)
Lineage: Eukaryota; Metazoa; Chordata; Aves; Passeriformes; Pipridae
Exons: 4
Source: RefSeq, a predicted model, not a curated record
CAUAGGUCAGCAGAAAGGUUUUCACUAAAUUCAAAGAACUGAAUGUAACUAUUCUUGUAAAGCCACUAAUUAUCCUCAAGGGCAUAAUUCCUGUCACUUUAGCAACUGGAGAGCCCAGCUACACCUCCAGUUCUUCCAUUAAAGGCAGCAAAGGCAGCCAGCCACCUCUACAGGAGAUAUAAAUUUGUGAUCAGUCAAUUAAUUUGUUAGCAGCAGCAUCAACAGAGACUGUAUUGAUUCAACAUGAGGAGAAUAUAUUGAAAUAUCCAGGCUGAAGUAAAAUAUGCCCAACAGAGGGGAACACCGAGUACCCUGCUGACAUUUCCAUGGGAGGAGAGAAUGCUUUAUACAGGAAUACAGUGGGAACAAAAUCAAAAGCCAUUACCUGGAAUUGAUGCAGCCAAUGUAAACCAGAGCAGCUGGUGGUCCAAGCAAUGGGAAAUUUUUAGAUUACUCCAUAAAUUGAUGCAGCUUGUCAGAAAAUCAGGCAAGGAGCUUGGAUGCGAGUGAAGCUUAAUGAAGUAGGGCCUCUAUAUCAGCAUUUCCUUAUUCCUACUCAGUCUUUACAAAGCUGAUGCAAAAUAAAAUCAAAUUGAGCCAGUGGUAGUGCUGUGCUUUCAUGCAGGUCUGUAGGCACCAAGCAGGAAAUAGUGCUGUUCAAAACUGGCUCUUCAGAAGCAACCCCACAUACUGACAUGGGAACAUGGGUACAUUUCCCAUGCCCACUGGACAUAAAUCUUACACUCACCCAUGUUUCAACAGAUGAAGUGGCAAAGGAGCACUUUGUGGUGUGUGUUCCUGAGCAACUGAAGGUUCCUUAAGUUAUGUCUGCAGCACAGCCAACCCUGCUCUGCCUGUCCAAAGGAAAGAGAGGAUGGAUUCACUGAAUUCUUGCAGCAAAAGUACUGGCCCAGGAAGGACCACUUCUGACCCCAACACCUCCUCAGAACAUGAAGAGAGGUUAACACUCUGCACUUUCCCUUGACAACCACAGUGCUUGGAUAUAAUCAAAGUGGGAUAAUCCACAAAACCUACUCCCUACCAGCAGCUCCAAGCAAAAGUAUGCCAUGUAGCAUAACUUCAGGAACAACUGGUAAGUUCAUAUAUGCAGGAACAGGGGAGCUUCCUCAAUUGUAAAGCUGGUUUCAGGACUCAGAACAUAUUUCCCCCCCACCCACCCCCCCAGCCCCAGGAGAAUAUUAAUUACACCAUCAGCAUGAAG